GGGCCGUUAGCUCAGUUGGUAGAGCAGUUGGCUUUUAACCAAUUGGUCGCUGGUUCGAGUCCAGCACGGCCCACCA
Molecule: transfer RNA, 76 nt
Filed under: Gammaproteobacteria bacterium
Lineage: Bacteria; Pseudomonadati; Pseudomonadota; Gammaproteobacteria
Also listed under: 1 other name
Description: tRNA-Lys
Rfam family: tRNA
About the family: Transfer RNA (tRNA) molecules are approximately 80 nucleotides in length.
Source: RNAcentral